CACAAAACUCUAGAUUUUAGUUUUACUAAUUAAAUAGACAUCUGUAUUCGUCUAGAUUCAGAAUGUGAAGUGAAGAAGGUACAUCUUGUUUACAAGGUCAAGAUGAUUACUUUUGAAACAAAAAUAUACAUGGACCAUGCCACCAUGGCCUCUUCAACCAAGAAGAUUAAAUCAUAUAUAUAAUAGCAGAGUUUUCUCUCCUCUAAAAGUGUCCACGUCACUACAUCUUUUUAAUGUGGAGCCCACAUGUUUUUACUCGCCUUCACAUUUUUUUCUAUACGUGAAAUAGAUUUAGUGAUGUUUAUGGGGCCACGAUUUGGUCAAAAAGCCCAUGAGCCAAAGAACCAAAUAGACUUAGUGAUGUGUAUCGGGCCAAGAUUUAGUAAAAAACCUAUGAACCGAAAGGACCUAAGAAAACCCAGUUAAAACUGCAAACCCUUGAUUUCAUUUUCUCCUAUUCGAUCGACGCAAUUCAGAGGACGACGAAAGAGAAAAAGAGUGUUUCAGUCACUGCCCUGUUGAUGAACGAAUUUCAACAAAGUAUAUUUGUAAGUUCUUUGAUAAGGGAAAAACAUUCUCAUCGCGUUGAAGGUCGGGAGUUAGGUCGUUCUUGCGAUAAACAUAAGAGUUUAUUAGUUUUAUAGCUGCACCUUGUAAAAGGUUGUCUACGUACCCUUAGAAAAGGGAUCAAGCCAUACGUAGUUCAUAUUAUAAUAAGUGAGCUAGGUCAUCGUUGGAGGUAGGUCGUAUAUUGAGAUAGGCAGUUUAGAGAUGAGGUGGCAGGUUGGUGACGAGCUGGCAGCUAGGCGACGAGCUAGCAGAUGUGUGACGAGCUGGCAGGUAGGCGAAGAGCUGGACGAACUUAGUUACGAGGCGAACUGGUUGAUAGACAACGAGUUAGACGAACUGAGUAUUUGAGUGACGAGCUGGUAGCCAGGGGCCAAGCUAGACGAAAUGUAGUAGAGAGACGAGUCGGACAAAUCGAGUUCUGGUGAAAGUCUAGACGAGCUGGCAGACGAGAUAGGCGGACUGUGUAGUCAAUGGACGAACUGGCAGCUAGGCGAGGAGAUAGAUGAGUUGUGCACUUGAGGGACGAGCUGACGACUAGGUGAGAAUUGGACGAGCUGACAGCUAGGCGAGGAGAUGGUCGUUGAGUGAUGUAGAGCUUGAAGACGAGCUGAAGAACUUAAAGACGAGCUGGAUAGCUUAAAGACGAGCUGAGGAGCUUGAGGAGCUCGAGGACGAGCUGAGGAGCUUUAGGACAAGCUGAAAAGCUUGAGGACGAGCAGAGGAGCUUGAGAACGAGCUGAGCUUAAGGACGAGCUGAGGAGCUUGAGGACGAGCUGAUAAGCUUGAGGACGAGCAGAGGAGCUAGAGAACGAGCUGAGGAGCUUGAAGACGUUUUAAUAUGGAUUUCUUCCUCCUUUUUUCCUUGAGAUGCCUCUCUAUUUAUAGAAAAACUAAGCUGGUGAUAGGAUAAUGGACCAACUUUUAUGGGCUUUUUGGGCUUGAUGUUGAUUAGUUUAUUCUUGAUUUGGGCCGAGCUAAAAUGAGGGGUGCAAUCCAUCCCCCAACAUGCCCCAUGGAGCUUUCUGUAUUUUUCUUCCCCAGAAGCUCAAACAUCAACAGUUAUUCACUAAAAGGUACUUAAAUACAUGGCUUAAUUCCUACAAAAUUCUACUACUUGCAAUUAAAUUCAUACUUUAAAUAUCUCAAAUCGAAACUGUAACUGGAGAAAAGCAAAAACCUCCUAUAGAUCUUCCUUUAAACUACUAUAAAAUCAUCAUCUCCUAUACUAGGUACAUCAGGAAACGAUGAACGCGUGUUCAAAACCCUUAAUCUUGCUCCGUUGGUGAAGAAACCGUUAUCAUGCCGCAAACACCUUCUUAUUAUGAAGAAACGUCUUGCCAACAACAACCCGGAUGCUCACUACAUAAAAGGUAUAAUAUGGUACUUUAACCUUGAUCAUUGUGACGUUGGUCUCCACCAUAUUGGCAUAGCAGCUAACGGAGGCCAAAAAGAAGCAAUCUACAUGUAUGUCAUGCUAUUAUUAUGUAGAGGAAGGACUGAAGAGGGAAAAACCUAUAUGAGCCAAUUUGAAUGGGCUAAAGACACCACCAUGGCUGAAACGUGUUGGAAACAAAUCAAAACUUCACUAAAUGGGAUUAGAGUGGCGAGAAAAAGAUGCUACAUGAUAUCACUUCGCAACAUGAAACCCCCCGACGUGUGCCAUCCAAGAGAUUUGGACAACACAUGUGAGAAAUGUUUUUUCUACAAACAAAUGUUUAAGUUUAUUUUUAUGGUAUAACUUAAACAAAACAUCUAGAGAGUUGGAAACUGUUUUUAAAAAAUUUCCUAUAAUGUUUGAGGCAGUGAACUAUCACAAAAACUCAAAACAAAGUUAUUACUCUUAUUUCUUUUGCUUUAAUGUGUGUCUUUCCUUGCUGUUGUAAGGAAAUUUAUUUUUACAAUAAAAU
RNAcentral lists this small RNA (2477 nucleotides) under Arabidopsis thaliana (thale cress). RNAcentral describes it as "ATSL250510". Lineage: Eukaryota; Viridiplantae; Streptophyta; Magnoliopsida; Brassicales; Brassicaceae. The record is from RNAcentral.